Molecule: small RNA, 27 nt
Filed under: Bombyx mori (domestic silkworm)
Lineage: Eukaryota; Metazoa; Arthropoda; Insecta; Lepidoptera; Bombycidae
Description: ovarian small RNA-25334
Source: RNAcentral
UCACGUGGUUGAUGAGCCGUAGUGAGG